AUUCGAACAUACAUUUCUUGUAUUCACAAUAUAACACAAUGUUUAGAUAUUUUUGUGUACUUUUCGUGUCCGUAUUGCUUGUAAAUAUGAGCUUACAAAGACCAAGCCCUCAGAAAGAAGAACAAGAAGAAAAAGCAGGUGGAGCGGAGGAAGAAGAAGCUGCGGGAGAAAAUGACGGAGAGGAAAGUGCAGCAGGCGACGAGGAAAAUAAUGAAGAAACGGAACCAAGUGAAGGUGGAGAACGUCGCAAACGAAGUAUAGAUGAGGAAGUCUUCAAUUACUUUAAUGCUCCAAUAUGAGAAGAUAAUUCUUGGUGCUUUAUUUAUUAUGAAUUAAUAUAUUAUUGUGUGGAAAUAUAAAAUGUAAAAAUAUAAAAAA
Long non-coding RNA from Leptidea sinapis, 378 nucleotides. RefSeq lists it as uncharacterized. Lineage: Eukaryota; Metazoa; Arthropoda; Insecta; Lepidoptera; Pieridae. The record is from RefSeq and is a predicted model, not a curated record. The transcript has 3 exons.